UGGGGAAUUUUGGACAAUGGGCGAAAGCCUGAUCCAGCAAUGCCGCGUGUGUGAAGAAGGCCUUCGGGUUGUAAAGCACUUUUGUCCGGAAAGAAAUCCUUGGCUCUAAUACAGUAGGGGGAUGACGGUACCGGAAGAAUAAGCACCGGCUAACUACGUGCCAGCAGCCGCGGUAAUACGUAGGGUGCAAGCGUUAAUCGGAAUUACUGGGCGUAAAGCGUGCGCAGGCGGUUUGCUAAGACCGAUGUGAAAUCCCCGGGCUCAACCUGGGAACUGCAUUGGUGACUGGCAGGCUAGAGUAUGGCAGAGGGGGGUAGAAUUCCACGUGUAGCAGUGAAAUGCGUAGAGAUGUGGAGGAAUACCGAUGGCGAAGGCAGCCCCCUGGGCCAAUACUGACGCUCAUGCACGAAAGCGUGGGGAGCAAAACAGGAUUAGAUACCCUGGUAGUCCACGCCCUAAACGAUGUCAACUAGUUGUUGGGGAUUCAUUUCCUUAGUAACGUAGCUAACGCGUGAAGUUGACCGCCUGGGGAGUACGGUCGCAAGAUUAAAACUUAAAUGAAUUGNCGGGGUC
Molecule: ribosomal RNA, 573 nt
Filed under: uncultured bacterium
Lineage: Bacteria
Description: partial 16S ribosomal RNA
Rfam family: Bacterial small subunit ribosomal RNA
Source: RNAcentral